Molecule: long non-coding RNA, 601 nt
Filed under: Anas platyrhynchos platyrhynchos (common mallard)
Lineage: Eukaryota; Metazoa; Chordata; Aves; Anseriformes; Anatidae
Description: lncRNA (ENSAPLG00000026860.1)
Source: RNAcentral
UUUUACUAGAUUCAGGGCUUCUUCUCCAGACAUGUACAGGGCUGGAGAGGGCCAAGAAGUCUGGUAGAUCUUAGUAAAAGGAUCUGAAAGCAAACCUCACGGUGCUAUGGGACUGCGCACCUUGCUGAUGAGGAUGUUGUCCUGCCUUGUGUGACCACUGGCUCCCAGCUUACCUUCCCCUGCAAAUCUGCCAUCUCUUGUUGCUCUUCAACAGUUAUCUCAGGUAAAGCACAAAGACCUGAGUUGAAACAGCUUCUGGAUGAAUUGGUAGAAGAUGUCUAGGUAGGUGGAGGCCCUGGGGGGAACCGGCCAAAACAAUUAGACUCCUGUGCUAUACUCACUGCCCUGGUACCACAUAGGUUUGUGUACUCCUGCACAUGCUCUCAUACCAGACCAGAAGUUUUCUCUAGCUGAAAGGUGAGAAAGUAUGGGAGGUUGUGGUGGUUUUACCAUGCUGGGCAGCUAAACACCACAACCGCUCUCUCACUCCCCCUCUUUAGAUGAGGAGGGGGAGAAGUAAAGCAAAGAACAACUCACGGGUUGAGAUAAGGAUAAUUUAAUUAAAGGGAAACAAUAAUAAUAAUUAAAGAAAGAUUAUUAU